ACGAUAACGGCGUCGAGCGGCGGACGGGUGAGUAAUGCCUAGGAAAUUGCCCUGAUGUGGGGGAUAACCAUUGGAAACGAUGGCUAAUACCGCAUGAUGCCUACGGGCCAAAGAGGGGGACCUUCGGGCCUCUCGCGUCAGGAUAUGCCUAGGUGGGAUUAGCUAGUUGGUGAGGUAAGGGCUCACCAAGGCGACGAUCCCUAGCUGGUCUGAGAGGAUGAUCAGCCACACUGGAACUGAGACACGGUCCAGACUCCUACGGGAGGCAGCAGUGGGGAAUAUUGCACAAUGGGCGCAAGCCUGAUGCAGCCAUGCCGCGUGUGUGAAGAAGGCCUUCGGGUUGUAAAGCACUUUCAGUCGUGAGGAAGGUAGUGUAGUUAAUAGCUGCAUUAUUUGACGUUAGCGACAGA
RNAcentral lists this ribosomal RNA (410 nucleotides) under Vibrio parahaemolyticus. RNAcentral describes it as "bacterial SSU rRNA". It matches the Rfam family "Bacterial small subunit ribosomal RNA", at positions 79 to 485 of the family's 1533-position model. Lineage: Bacteria; Pseudomonadati; Pseudomonadota; Gammaproteobacteria; Vibrionales; Vibrionaceae. The record is from RNAcentral.